AAUAUUCAAGUCGCAUUAAUGCGCAUUCAAUUCAAGAAAAGUUUGAAUCAUUUGGAUAAGAAGACAUUUAAAUAAACAAAUGUAUGUGUUGUGCAACAGAUAGUCUGUUGUAACAGGUAUAAACUGUUGCACAUUUGUCUGUUGCAAUCACGACACUGCACUUCUCUUUUCUUACAAAGAAUAAAUGUCUGCAAAGCAGAAAAAGAUGAGGAAACGCCAAUUCAAAUUCUAUAGAGAAAGCCAAAUCCAUAUCAUCUUGCACAGCCCAUGUUAAGGAAACUUUCAUAUUGGCAAGUCAUAGCUUACAUGGAACAAUCUUAAAUAUUCACAGCAGAUUUGUGCCUCCUGUUUUUGUUCGGCAAAUGGAUUAUAUUAUUCGGUGAUUUAGGAAAAUUGAGAGGAGAAUUUUUAUACAUAUACCAUAUAUAUUAUUUUGCAAAAAGUUAUAAUUCAAAUUGCUGGCAUCCUUUGUAACAAAUAGAAUUCUCUUUUUGGUGAAUCAAAUAUGGCAACAGACUCAUGGAAGAAACAUUCUAUGUGAACAAAGGGGUCUCAGGACUAUGGUACCAGUGACCAUUACCUUUCAAAUUGUGUUCAUGUAUUACGCAGGGAAACAGGUGUCAUUGAAAAA
Molecule: long non-coding RNA, 631 nt
Organism: Xenia sp. Carnegie-2017
Lineage: Eukaryota; Metazoa; Cnidaria; Anthozoa; Malacalcyonacea; Xeniidae
Exons: 3
Source: RefSeq, a predicted model, not a curated record